RNAcentral lists this ribosomal RNA (323 nucleotides) under uncultured bacterium. RNAcentral's name for it is "bacterial SSU rRNA". It matches the Rfam family "Bacterial small subunit ribosomal RNA", at positions 28 to 334 of the family's 1533-position model. The record is from RNAcentral.
GACGAACGCUGGCGGCGUGCCUAACACAUGCAAGUCGAACGGAGAUCCUUGGAUUGAGACUUCGGUCAAAUGAAUUGGAUCUUAGUGGCGAACGGGUGAGUAACGCGUGAGCAACCUGCCUUUCAGAGGGGGACAACAGUUGGAAACGACUGCUAAUACCGCAUAACGUAUCGAGGGGGCAUCCCCAUGAUACCAAAGAUUUAUCGCUGAGAGAUGGGCUCGCGUCUGAUUAGAUAGUUGGUGAGGUAACGGCUCACCAAGUCGACGAUCAGUAGCCGGACUGAGAGGUUGAACGGCCACAAGGGGACUGAGACACGGCCCUU